This 488-nucleotide ribosomal RNA is filed under the name uncultured bacterium. RNAcentral describes it as "bacterial SSU rRNA". It matches the Rfam family "Bacterial small subunit ribosomal RNA", at positions 31 to 507 of the family's 1533-position model. The record is from RNAcentral.
GAACGCUAGCUACAGGCUUAACACAUGCAAGUCGAGGGAAACGAUAGAGAAAGCUUGCUUUUUCUAGGCGUCGACCGGCGCACGGGUGAGUAACGCGUAUCCAACCUGCCCAUCACUUGGGGAUAACCUUGCGAAAGUAAGACUAAUACCCAAUGACGUCUCUAGAAGACAUCUGAAAGAGAUUUAAAGAUUUAUCGGUGAUGGAUGGGGAUGCGUCUGAUUAGCUUGUUGGCGGGUAACGGCCCACCAAGGCGACGAUCAGUAGGGGUUCUGAGAGGAAGGUCCCCCACAUUGGAACUGAGACACGGUCCAAACUCCUACGGGAGGCAGCAGUGAGGAAUAUUGGUCAAUGGACGAGAGUCUGAACCAGCCAAGUAGCGUGCAGGAUGACGGCCCUAUGGGUUGUAAACUCCUUUUAUAAGGGGAUAAAGUUGGCCAUGUAUGGCCAUUUGCAGGUACCUUAUGAAUAAGCAUCGGCUAAUUCCGUG